AUACUCCUGACUGACCGAUAGUGAACCAGUACCGUGAGGGAAAGGCGAAAAGAACCCCGGCGAGGGGAGUGAAAAAGAACCUGAAACCGUGUACGUACAAGCAGUGGGAGCACAGGUUUACCUGUGUGACUGCGUACCUUUUGUAUAAUGGGUCAGCGACUUAUAUUCUGUAGCAAGGUUAACCGUAUAGGGGAGCCGGAGGGAAACCGAGUCUUAAUUGGGCGUUAAGUUGCAGGGUAUAGACCCGAAACCCGGUGAUCUAGCCAUGGGCAGGUUGAAGGUUGGGUAACACUAACUGGAGGACCGAACCGACUAAUGUUGAAAAAUUAG
Molecule: ribosomal RNA, 330 nt
Filed under: Salmonella enterica
Lineage: Bacteria; Pseudomonadati; Pseudomonadota; Gammaproteobacteria; Enterobacterales; Enterobacteriaceae
Also listed under: 1 other name
Description: partial 23S ribosomal RNA
Rfam family: Bacterial large subunit ribosomal RNA
Source: RNAcentral